This 468-nucleotide ribosomal RNA is filed under the name uncultured bacterium. Its description in RNAcentral is "partial 16S ribosomal RNA". It matches the Rfam family "Bacterial small subunit ribosomal RNA", at positions 28 to 507 of the family's 1533-position model. The record is from RNAcentral.
GACGAACGCUGGCGGCGUGCUUAACACAUGCAAGUCGAACGGUGAAGCUCCAUCUGGCUUGAGUGGGUCAGUGACGAACGAGUAAGUAACACGUGAGCAACCUGCGCCUUACGCUGGAAUAAGCGCUAGAAACGGCGUUAACUACUGGAUACCCGUGCUGUCCGGAUGGGCACUUUCUGGUAAGUUUGUCGGUUGGGGAGGGGCUCGCGGCCUAUCAGCUUGUUGGUGAGGUAAUGGCUCACAAAGGCGACGACGGGUAGCCGGCCUGGGAGGGCGACCGGCCAAACGGGGACUGGGCACGGGCCAGGCUUCCUAGGGGAGGAGGAAGUGGGGAUUAUUGCACAAUGGGAGAAAGCCGGAGGAAGAGAGGCGGCGUGAGGGAUGAGGGCCUUCGGGUUGUAAACGUCUUUCGGCAGGGAAGAAGGGAAGGUGACGGUACCUGCAGAAGAAGCACCGGCUAACUACGUG